Non-coding RNA from Paramuricea clavata, 684 nucleotides. The record is from the annotation of a GenBank genome assembly. Lineage: Eukaryota; Metazoa; Cnidaria; Anthozoa; Malacalcyonacea; Plexauridae.
GUUGCCUGUUUCGAAUGCUGUUUGAUUGUCUUAUGAUUGUGGUACGAACACUUUUCAUAUAUACGCACGCGCAGAAACACAUCUCCGUGUUCAUUCGUUUUAGGCAUGCCCAUAAACGGAAUUUUCUCCCACAAUUGUAAUGUUCAAGAUUAGGGAAUAAAAGCUGGCAAAGUGAUUGUUCGAAUGUGUACGGGACGGUGUCGUCAGAUAUUGUCCAUAAUUGUGCCGAUGGUUUUCGAUGAGGUACAGCUCUCCAAUCAGAGGUAAUGAGGUACGCUUUUGUCUUCUAAAUUUCCCUCAUCAAGCAUGCAGGGGAAGAUUAGAAGACAAAGAAAUCCUUUGUUUUCAACUAAAUUUACCGGGUAAAUUUAGAAGACAAAGCGUAUGCAUGGGUAAUGAGGUAAAUUAGUUGGUAAUCGUACCUCGCGAGACAAAGGAUUUCGAGGCAACUAUGAUAUUAUUGUAGUAUUCCACCUAUACACUGAACCACCACGAAUAUUGUGAAAUACUAUUUAUUCUGAUCACCAUGUUUGAGAUAUCUUUUUCAAGUAGUUUGGACACAAACCACGCACCUUGUUGUAGAAUACUACCUACACUGAACCACCACGAAUAUAGAAUACUACCUAUCAUUGAAUCACCAUGUUUGAGAUAUCUUUUUCAGGUAGUUCGGACACAAACCACGAC